RNAcentral lists this ribosomal RNA (301 nucleotides) under uncultured bacterium. RNAcentral describes it as "partial 16S ribosomal RNA". It matches the Rfam family "Bacterial small subunit ribosomal RNA", at positions 509 to 807 of the family's 1533-position model. The record is from RNAcentral.
CAGUAGCCGCGGUAAUACGUAGGUGGCAAGCGUUGUCCGGAAUUAUUGGGCGUAAAGGGCGCGUAGGCGGACAGUUCAGUCGGGGGUGAAAGCCCGGGGCUCAACCUCGGAAUUGCCUUCGAUACUGGCUGUCUUGAGUAUGAGAGAGGUGUGUGGAACUCCGAGUGUAGAGGUGAAAUUCGUAGAUAUUCGGAAGAACACCAGUGGCGAAGGCGACACACUGGCUCAUUACUGACGCUGAGGCGCGAAAGCGUGGGGAGCAAACAGGAUUAGAUACCCCCGUAGUCCCUGUCUCUUAUAC